AUGGCGGACGGCUCCAAGGACACCAGCAGGCGGCGGAAUCCAGCGGACAAGCUCACCGAAGACCUCCUCAUCGAGAUCCUGUCGCGCGUGCCGUACAGAUCGCUGUGCCGCUUCAAGUGCGUCUCCAAGCGGUGGUGCGGCACCAUCUCCCACCCCCACAACCGCAAGGUGCUGCCGCAGUACCAUCUCCAACACCCCGUCACGGGCUGUUUCUUAGGUCGCCACUUAGCCCAUGUCUCGGCGGGAGGCCGCCCUCGUAUCCGCCCUUCACUCCCCUUCCUGCCUGACUGUCAUCAGUUCCACCUUCUGGACAGCUGCAACGGCCUACUCCUCUGCCGCCGCUUCGAGACCGCUGAUUCGUGGGAAUUUGAUUACGUCGUGUGGAAUCCUGCCACGGAGAAGUGGGUCGUCUUGCCUAGCUUCUUCGGCAACUGGCAGACUGCUCGCUUGGGGUUCGACCCGGCCGUCUCCUCGCACUUCCACGUGUUUCACUUCCUGGAGCACGAAAUAGAUGGGUAUCCUGACGGUGAUGAUUACGAGAGUGAUUGA
This 549-nucleotide ribosomal RNA is filed under the name Triticum aestivum (bread wheat). Its description in RNAcentral is "partial small subunit ribosomal RNA". The record is from RNAcentral. Lineage: Eukaryota; Viridiplantae; Streptophyta; Magnoliopsida; Poales; Poaceae.